UAUAUGGUUCAUCUUCGGUAUUUUUUUUUAUAAUUUGAUGUUUAUCAGCAUUUUACUCAUUAUUGUCAAAAAUUGUUGCUUUUGAUCGAGAAAGAAAUGGAGAAAUCGUCAAAGCAUGCUUCACUUCCAUUGGUUUUGUUCGAAUUCUCAGAUAAUUUUAAUAACUCUGUUUUUGGUGUUGGAACACUAAGUUCCAUUUUUAAACCUCCCCUUCCAGACAGUUUGAGUGAAAGUGUUCUUGUGGUGCAUUCUUGGAUCUCAGACAACGAACAACUCACUAUUUGGUGGCACAAAAGAACUAAGAACAAUUGGAAUGACAAAAUCUAUGGAAGUAAUUCAACUGAGGGGCCGGAUGAUGAAUUUAGAUCUAAUCGACCACUCAUGUUAUCUGGUAAGUUCAAAGUCUUGUUCGUCCUUGUA
RNAcentral lists this long non-coding RNA (420 nucleotides) under Daphnia magna. RNAcentral's name for it is "uncharacterized LOC116934918". The record is from RNAcentral. Lineage: Eukaryota; Metazoa; Arthropoda; Branchiopoda; Diplostraca; Daphniidae.